This 544-nucleotide ribosomal RNA is filed under the name Truncospora tephropora. RNAcentral's name for it is "SSU rRNA". It matches the Rfam family "Bacterial small subunit ribosomal RNA", at positions 378 to 959 of the family's 1533-position model. The record is from RNAcentral. Lineage: Eukaryota; Fungi; Basidiomycota; Agaricomycetes; Polyporales; Polyporaceae.
CAAGAGUGAACUAGCUAACUGAAAUCAUAGAAUUUCUUCAAAUUCAUGAUGUCGUAAGGGAAAAUAAUGAUAAUACCUUACUAUGAGUGUCGUCCAAAUCUGGUGCCAGAAGACUCGGUAAGACCAGAGACGCAAACGUUAAUCAUCUUAAACAGGCGUAAAGGGUUUGUAGGCAGCUUUCAUCAGAAUAUAAUUGCGAAAUAAAGUAGUCUAAUUGAAAGCUAGAAUCAAAUAGAGGUUAUAGUGUAUAACGCCUAGAGGAGGGCUGAUAUCCUUAGAUCCUAGGCAGAAUACUCAGGGCGAAGGCCACUCUCCACUAAUGAUUGACGCUGAGAAACGAAGGUUAGGGUAGGAAAUAGGAUUAGAUACCCCGGUACUCCUUUCUGUAAACGAUGAAUGGUAGUCAUUAGUUUUUUAAAAUAACUAGAGACGAAGUUAACACAAUAACCAUUCCGCCUUGUGAGUACUACUGCAAAGUAGAAAACAAAAAAAUUAGUCGGUCUCGAAGCAAACGGAGUGAAGCAUGUUAUUUAAUACGAUAAUC